RNAcentral lists this microRNA precursor (70 nucleotides) under Schistosoma margrebowiei. Its description in RNAcentral is "mir-3492 microRNA precursor family". It matches the Rfam family "mir-3492 microRNA precursor family". The record is from Rfam by way of RNAcentral. Lineage: Eukaryota; Metazoa; Platyhelminthes; Trematoda; Strigeidida; Schistosomatidae.
AGCCUUCUGUAUCCGUGCUGAGAUUUCGUCACACACCAGACCACAAGGGCUGAUGAGACCAAAUAGAACU